This 82-nucleotide transfer RNA is filed under the name Coemansia mojavensis. RNAcentral describes it as "tRNA-Tyr". It matches the Rfam family "tRNA". From Rfam's summary of the family: Transfer RNA (tRNA) molecules are approximately 80 nucleotides in length. The record is from RNAcentral. Lineage: Eukaryota; Fungi; Kickxellomycota; Kickxellomycetes; Kickxellales; Kickxellaceae. RNAcentral also lists the same sequence under 9 other names.
CCGAGGGUAGCUCAGGGGUAGAGCGGAAGACUGUAGUGGAUUAGACAUCUUUAGGUCGCUGGUUCAAAUCCGGCUCCUCGGA